AGAGGCUUAGGAUAACGCAAGACCGUGGACCUUCAAAGCCCUAAGUGGGAGUUAAAAUCUCCCAGCCUCUG
This 71-nucleotide transfer RNA is filed under the name Olisthops cyanomelas (herring cale). RNAcentral describes it as "tRNA-Trp". It matches the Rfam family "tRNA". From Rfam's summary of the family: Transfer RNA (tRNA) molecules are approximately 80 nucleotides in length. Their secondary structure includes four short double-helical elements and three loops (D, anti-codon, and T loops). Lineage: Eukaryota; Metazoa; Chordata; Actinopteri; Labriformes; Odacidae. The record is from RNAcentral.